UAGACAGGUAUCUGAUCUCUACUGUAGUAGGGUUGGAAGGUUAGACAGGUAUCUGAUCUCUACUGUAGUAGGGUUGGAAGGUUAGACAGGUGGUAUGUAUCUGAUCUCUACUGUAGUAGGGUUGGAAGGUUAGACAGGUAUCUGAUCUCUACUGUAGUAGGGUUGGAAGGUUAGACAGGUGGUAUGUAUCUGAUCUCUACUGUAGUAGGGUUGGAAGGUUAGACAGGUGGUAUGUAUCUGAUCUCUACUGUAGUAGGGUUGGAAGGUUAGACAGGUAUCUGAUCUCUACUGUAGUAGGGUUGGAAGGUUAGACAGGUGGUAUGUAUCUGAUCUCUACUGUAGUAGGGUUGGAAGGUUAGACAGGUAUCUGAUCUCUACUGUAGUAGGGUUGGAAGGUUAGACAGGUGGUAUGUAUCUGAUCUCUACUGUAGUAGGGUUGGAAGGU
This 445-nucleotide long non-coding RNA is filed under the name Salmo salar (Atlantic salmon). Its description in RNAcentral is "lncRNA (ENSSSAG00000116117.1)". Lineage: Eukaryota; Metazoa; Chordata; Actinopteri; Salmoniformes; Salmonidae. The record is from RNAcentral.